AUAUUUUAAGGCUACUGCCUUCUUAAUAUCUUCAAUAUUAUACUUUAAAAAAUAAGCUAUUAAAACA
RNAcentral lists this transfer RNA (67 nucleotides) under Cautires sp. UPOL A00062. RNAcentral describes it as "tRNA-Phe". Lineage: Eukaryota; Metazoa; Arthropoda; Insecta; Coleoptera; Lycidae. The record is from RNAcentral.